GCAGUAGUGAGAGACGUAAAAUAAAACCGCGAGCUAACAUGAAAUACUGAGGAAAGCUGAGUUAAGAAAUACUACUGUAAAGUACAUAUUUUGUAUUUUAUUUUCAAGUUUGUGGUCUUGUGGUCGUGUCGUCUGCAUCGGAGGAGUAGGGGGAGAGCGGGGACGGUUGCAACAGGGGACAGUUGCAACAUGACUUAUUCCUCCGAUCAGGAAUGAGGUAGAGUGAUGAUACUCAUACUGCACAUGCUUAGUUAGCCCCUCCCCCGAUCUGAAAGAAGUCAGCCAUUUGUGACCAUUCCUUCAGGGAAAAGCUAAUUUUGAGUAUGCCACGAGCCACGAGAGAGGAAACACACAACAGAUAGGGGUGUCCCUCUACCUGUUCUGAAGUCAGCAGCAAAUAUAGUGAAGGAUGAACUCAUUUAUUUCUCUCUAAACCUCUCUCUGUUACACAUGCAUACACUAUCUUACACACAGACACACACACACACACACACACACACACAGACAGACAGACAGUUCAUUUCAGGAGUUCACAGAAGUAGUUCAGUAAAUUUUCAGUCUAGAUUUUCAUUAAAAAUAUUUUGUUGGUCAAUUUUUUUUUAGGCCUAAUAAUUAACCAAAACAUGAUUGUUACUUGUUCUUUUACUAGUCUUUGUAUUUUUAUGGCCAAUUUAACAAAUUCAACAAUUUAACCAAUAUACAUUUUGUAUGUUCACAAAUAAAAUAAAGAAAUUGCAAUAUAAUGUUAUAUAAUGUUUCUUUAUUAUUACAUUUUAAUAAGUGUUGCAACUGUCCCUGUGGACUGUUGCAACCGUCCCCUGCUAGGGGUCAGUUGCAACGUUUCACUUUGUCUGUUCAAGUUUAAAUUGUACAUAUAUUAUCAUAUGUAUGCAUGUAACAGCACUGUGGUUGGGUAUCUGACAGAUGUGGGUUUAAUAUAUAAAGAUUUUGGCUUUCCACAAAAAACUGUCUCUGAGAAACUGAAGGAAAUACAAAAAGUGUUGCAACCGUCCCCACUCUCCCCUACUGGAGUCUUUUCCUGUGAUUGCCGUCGUAACAACAGGAGAUUUCUCCAAGCAAAAACAGGAUCCUGAAUAUGAGGGCAGAAUCGUCAUACAGCCAGCUGUCCGUUUUACAGAAAUGCAGAAUUAGGUUCAUUCAGAUCUUUGUGGCACCAAAUGCAUUGAAAGUCACAGGUCAGCUGGAAUUCUGGAAAGAGGGUGCAAAGAAAAAGGAUCUGCCUGAAUCCCAUCCUGCUCUUUCUCAUCGGAGAGCUUGUCAACUUUGUCAAAAUUACUGAAAUUUAACACAACACAAACUCAUUUUUACUGUAUUACUUGAUUUUAUUAACACUACCAGUCAAAAGUUUUUGAACAGUAAGAUUUUUAUUGUUUUUAAAGAAGCCUCUUCUGCUCACCAA
Molecule: long non-coding RNA, 1420 nt
Organism: Onychostoma macrolepis
Lineage: Eukaryota; Metazoa; Chordata; Actinopteri; Cypriniformes; Cyprinidae
Exons: 4
Source: RefSeq, a predicted model, not a curated record